UACGGGGGGGGCAAGCGUUGUUCGGAAUUACUGGGCGUAAAGGGCGCGUAGGCGGUUCGCUAAGUUGAAUGUGAAAACUCUGGGCUUAACCCAGAGCCUGCAUCCAAAACUGGCGAACUGGAGUACUGGAGGGGAAAGCGGGAUUCCUGGUGUAGCGGUGAAAUGCGUAGAUAUCAGGAGGAACACCGGUGGCGAAGGCGGCUUUCUGGACAGUAACUGACGCUGAGACGCGAAAGCGUGGGGAGCGAACAGG
Molecule: ribosomal RNA, 253 nt
Filed under: uncultured bacterium
Lineage: Bacteria
Description: partial 16S ribosomal RNA
Rfam family: Bacterial small subunit ribosomal RNA
Source: RNAcentral